ACAAGGUUUCCGUAGGUGAACCUGCGGAAGGAUCAUUAAUUAUCCUCGAAAUAGAGGUAGAUGCUUCGAUUCAUGCUUGGGCAACCGGCUGUCUACGUUGAUCUACCUUUACUCUUCAUGGACAUCCCUUCUGUGUAUCAACCCUUUGUUGCUUCCCGUAUGGUGUGGCCCGCAAGGGUUGCUCUGCGGGGAGGAUAUCAUAAACUCUGGUUGUUGUGUUGUUAGUCUGAGUGGUAAUCACAUUAAAAACAAGUUAAAACUUUCAACAACGGAUCUCUUGGUUCUCGCAUCGAUGAAGAACGCAGCGAAAUGCGAUAAGUAGUGUGAAUUGCAGAAUUCAGUGAAUCAUCGAAUCUUUGAACGCACAUUGCGCCUUCUGGUAUUCCGGGAGGCAUGCCUGUUCGAGCGUCAUCAAACACAUUCUCAAGCUCUUUUUGCUUGGUAUUGGAGGAAGAUGUCAGCAUCUCCUCUCAAAUCCCUCAGCGGAAACCACUGCAGUCUCAGGUGUGAUAAGAGUACCUUUCGCUUGAUGACUUGUAGUUACGUUCUUGCUGUCAAGAGCCCCCCAGCUUUUUUCUUAGUUGACCUCG
RNAcentral lists this ribosomal RNA (590 nucleotides) under fungal endophyte sp. ECD-2008. RNAcentral describes it as "eukaryotic LSU rRNA". The stretch from base 258 to 411 matches the Rfam family "5.8S ribosomal RNA". Lineage: Eukaryota; Fungi. The record is from RNAcentral.